GACUUGAACGCAGCAUAAGGACAUUUGCGAAUCUCAAAAAACAUGGUCGCCAUUAGACAAUGAAUUUUGAGCACCUAUUAGACAAGGUUAACAGAGGCCGA
Molecule: long non-coding RNA, 101 nt
Organism: Sinocyclocheilus anshuiensis
Lineage: Eukaryota; Metazoa; Chordata; Actinopteri; Cypriniformes; Cyprinidae
Exons: 3
Source: RefSeq, a predicted model, not a curated record